GUGUGUGUGCACGAUGAAGAAGAAGUAGCAAAGAAGCAUUCGCAGCGGCUCACGCACUUUGAUGCUGCUAAUUAUUGUUUUAUCUGUCGAAUAAAUUGUGCCUUUAUUUUCCGAGUAUAAGAUCGAUAAUCGUUAUCGAGAUCAUUGAUGUUGUGUCCGAGCAAUUUCGCCGAUUCGCAAUCAUUAUCAGUGAUUUCAACGAGUGAUGCCAUAACGUUAAAUGAGUUCUGGGGAGAUCAGCGACAUUUUGUGAGGCAUGGGACUCGACUUUCCUAAUGCUUGUCACAUAAACUCUGGUAGUUUACCGCGCACGGAGCAAAAUGAGCGGGAGAAACUGUGGUGCCUCACUUAUGACUUUGCGACGACGGGGAACGCAAAAGGGCGGUAAGAAGAACAAGAAAACAAUGAUGACGAGAUGCAAAAAGUACGAGACGAGUGAUAAUACGGAUAUGCGACGAUUGAGAGAAAUGCAACGUCGUGUCUUACAAUUCCCGUCGCAAAAUAUUCCAACAUCCACCACAUAAUGACCGACAGAAACGUCAUUCGACGUGAAACGUUUCGCCAUGACUUCCCGCCAGAAACGCUUAACAUUUAUUUACAUUGGAGAAGGAAAGAGAAAAGGCGUACGAAGUAUCAACUUGCGUGCCGAAUUCCGAAUCGUUUAGUUAGCCUCGACUUCGAUACGAAGAACAAACAUCAACGACAAGGAAAAUCGACUCGCUUUUAACAACCCCUAAUUACGGGCUGAAAGCAAUCAGUAUGCCGAGAUAGUCGACGAAACCUUGCCGACGUUUUAAUUACCUCUUCCAUUUUCAUAUCUUGCGCGCGUGUCGUUUAGCGAGCCGUACAUAUUUAUACGUAA
Molecule: long non-coding RNA, 862 nt
Organism: Nylanderia fulva
Lineage: Eukaryota; Metazoa; Arthropoda; Insecta; Hymenoptera; Formicidae
Source: RefSeq, a predicted model, not a curated record